This 1248-nucleotide ribosomal RNA is filed under the name metagenome. Its description in RNAcentral is "SSU rRNA". It matches the Rfam family "Eukaryotic small subunit ribosomal RNA", at positions 542 to 1783 of the family's 1831-position model. The record is from RNAcentral.
UAUCCAUUGGAGGGCAAGUCUGGUGCCAGCAGCUGCGGUAAUACCAGCUCCAAUAGCGUAUAUUAAAGUUGUUGCAGUUAAAAAGCUCGUAGUUGGACUUGUGUGCGCUGUCCGCGGGUGGCCUGCGCCCAAAAGGGCGUUUCGGUUCGGCCCCGGUGGCGCCUUGAAAUCUGCAGCUGGGGGGACGUUGGCCUUAACUGGUCGGCGACCGCACGCCGGCUGCUCGGUUACUGUGAGAAAAUUAGAGUGUUCAAGGCAGGCAUUGGGUGCAAUUGAAUACAUUAGCAUGGAAUAAUAAAAUAUGGCUCCUGCCGUAUUUUGUUGGUUUUGACUGGUGGGAGUAAUGAUUGAUAGGGACGGUUGGGGGUGCUAGUAUUGAGCGGCCAGAGGUGAAAUUCAUGGAUUCGCUCAAGACUAACUUAUGCGAUAGCAUUCACCAAGGACGUCCUCUUUAAUCAAGAACGAAAGUUGGGGGAUCGAAGACGAUCAGAUACCGUCGUAGUCUCAACCAUAAACUAUGUCGACUUGGGAUCGGCGGUAGUUUUUUCAUUAAGACACUGUCGGGACCACGGGAGAAAUCAAAGUGUCUGGACUCUGGGGGAAGUAUGGUCGCAAGGCUGAAACUUGAAGGAAUUGACGGAAGGGCACCACCAGGAGUGGAGCCUGCGGCUUAAUUUGACUCAACACGGGGAAACUUACCAGGUCCAGAGAUGUAGAGGAUUGACAGAUUGAAGCUCUUUCUUGAUCACUUCGGUGGUGGUGCAUGGCCGUUCUUAGUUGGUGGAGUGAUUUGUCUGGUUAAUUCCGUUAACGAACGAGACCUCAGCCUGCUAGUGUAGUCGGCUGGAUUGCCUUUGGCGAUCCGUGAUUUCGACUUCUUAGAGGGACAAUCGACGCGCAGUCGAUGGAAGUUUGAGGCAAUAACAGGUCUGUGAUGCCCUUAGAUGUUCUGGGCCGCACGCGCGCUACACUGCUGGGCUCAGCGAGUUUUACUUGGCCGAGAGGCCCGGUUAAUCUUGUGAAAUCCCAGCGUGCUUGGGCUCGCCUCCUGCAACUGGAGGCGCCAACGAGGAAUUCCUAGUAGACGCAGGUCAUCAACCUGCAUCGAUUACGUCCCUGCCCUUUGUACACACCGCCCGUCGUUCCAUAAGAGUGAGGCAUCCGGUGAAUUCUCGGGAGAGCCUGGGCGUGGCCAGCAAUGGUCUGCUCGGGUUUGAACUUGCAUAAACUUGGUGCCUAUGAUUAGGG